CUGUCUGCCGCCGUAGCAGGGGUUGGUGUCCUCACCCCAGGCCUUGCCCCGGGACAUGACAGGCCUCAGCAUACAGACCGGGUGUGGGAAGGCCUGUCCCUGCUGCCCGAGGACCAAGACAUCACCCCUGUCCUAGAGAUGGUGCCCCCAGAGGCCUCAUCAUCAUAGGCUGAGGCCAGGAUGCUGGCCCAGAACCGGAGACACCUGAUUUCAAGCCUGGCUGUGCUGCUCCCCAGCUAUAUGACCUUGGGCAACCACUUCCCCUCUCUGAGCCUCCAUUUCCUCCUCUAAGAGAAGCUAAUAAUAGCAGUUUGGGGGGGAUGUGGUGGUGAUUCAGAGAGGCAGUGGGGUGUAGGCAGUCUGGUCUACCCCGUGCCCAGGGAGGAAGUGCAAAGAGUGGCGUGGUGCCUGCCACUGCAGAUGUCUCUGCAGUCACCGCUGGCUGACUCUUGGACAUUCCAAAAAAUGCUCCAGGAUCCAGCUGAGGAAUCCCAGCUUCCCCUGGGAACCCGAAACGCAAGCCUAACUUGAAGCAGAGACUGCUAAGUGACAUCUCCCUGCGUCCUGAGAGCGCCCUGUGAAUUCAGUGGCCACUUACAGAUGAGGAUACAGGUUUGGAGACACCAGUUCUCUCGCCCAAGUCCACGCAGAGGCUGGCGACAGAGCUGGGACUAAAACCAGGCAGCCGGACACCAGAGUCCCUGGACCAGUCCAGCAGCGGCAACUUGGAGAAGCCCCGGGGGCCUGCUCCCCUGAGCCAGUUUUCCCUGGCUCUCUCACACACCGGGCUGGGAGAAGGCCGCAAGGGACCCAGACUCAGCCCUGGCCUUGGGGAGAGAGCGGUCUGGAGCAGGACCUCCAGAGGUCACAGCCCCGGGAGGAGGGAGGCGUCUGCAGGCGGGCUUGGGGACCCAGGCCGCAGAUGGUGGUGUGUUUCCAGAAAACCCAUGGGGUUCUCUGAGAAGGGCAUUUCAGACCCCUCAGAGGAAGGGGUCUGGGGAAGUUUGCACAAGAAAAGAGAACGCACGGGUCCCAGAGCGGGCAGUCAUGGGUGGUCUGGCCAUGGCGAAGGGGGAGCAGAGACAGCCCAGCUGGGAGCCCGGGCCGCACCGCCCUAUGCAGACUGCUGGUGUGGAGCACAGCCCUGGGACGCCCCGACACCCUUCUCUGGGCCUGGGCCCUGGUCCUGGAGUCAGAGAAGCUUCAAACCAGGACCAGCCUCUUAGAUUGCCUGAGCCUAAUAAAUAAUAAUAGCAGUAGUCAUAAUCGUAAUAAGAAUAAUCUAGCAGCAUGAAACAAGUAUUUGCUGUUGGGUGUCUGAAAUCAUUUGCAGCACUUCCCGCAUUAUCCUCACAACCGCCCCAGGAUACACCGUCACUACGUCGGGUUCAGUGUAACGGAGCUGAGGCUCGGAGAAGCCCAGUGAUUACCGGAGGACUCAGCUGGUGAGAAGCAGAGCUGGGACUGGGAUUCAGGCCUCGACCCCAGAGUCUAUGUUUUUAACUGGUACGGGAUACAGACCCAUUCUCAUAAGCACCAUCACCAACCUGGAACAAUCUUCAACAUUUUCUGAACUCGAAUUUUUAAGACUCUGUAAAUACUUAUUUUACAUUUUGGUUCUAAAUUGCUUUCUCUUUCCUCAUCUGCAUUUUAGAAAGUGUUUUCUCUUUCUUGACGUCAAUGUGGCUGUUAUUAUUGAGUUGCUACUAAGAGCUACUACUUACUUAGAGCCACACUGGGCUAAAUUGUGGGCCGAGCAGCUUUCUAUCAACCCGCCCUAGGAGCGAGAUCCUAUUGCCCUCUUUUUACAGACAAGGAAACCAAGGUUCAGAAGGAAGUCAUUUGCUCAGAGCAGGCUUCAUCACAAGUCUCCCUCCAUGGCUUUAAGGCCUUUUGUGGCUCCCUCUUCCCAUCGGCCUGACAUUCACAACCCAGACACUGCUGAUCUCUCUCGGGACUCCUUCAGACGUCAAGUGCUCCCUGAGCUACUGAAUUCUUACAAGGUCUUAUCAUCCUGGAUUGUGAUGGCUUCCGGAAGAUUUGCAAGGGCCGUGUCCAAUGGCCAACACAAGCCCGGACACAGAAUAGGAACUCAGGAAAUAAAAGAAAGAAUCUGGCUUUGUUCCAUUUCUCAGGAGAAUACAGAGCCUCAGAAUUAGGAGCCAAUGUACAUUGUGAUAUAUUUUAGGUAUCAUGCUCAUUUCAUGUAUAUCUCACAGCAGGCUACAGGUUCUUGGGCAGAUAUUUUUGCAAUUAGUAUACUCAAUAUUCAGAUGUGGAAACUGAGGUCAGAGCCCCACAUCAUACAGGGAAGACUUCCCUGUGGUCCCAAGGCAGGACUCUGGAGGCCUGACUAUGGAAACCUUAACCCAGGGGCUAUUGGGAAAAGUCUCCAGGUGAACCCCACCCCAGAAGGCCAAUAACCCCCAACACACCAGGAGGUGGAAGGACCAGGAGUGUGACAACUCUUGUUUUAUGAGUUUUUGCAGCAGUGUCUCAAGAAUAUUCGCAGGAGGCUGAAUGGCAGAGGAAAUAAGAUCCUGAAUUUGAACCACCAGCCUGGGCUGACUUGCUGGAAGAUGAGGAGCCACAGGGAACAGAGAUGAGCCAUCUAGCUGAGGUAGCCAUGCCCUGGCUGCCCCGUAGAUUUGUAAGAAAUAAUAAAUG
Molecule: long non-coding RNA, 2667 nt
Organism: Canis lupus familiaris (dog)
Lineage: Eukaryota; Metazoa; Chordata; Mammalia; Carnivora; Canidae
Exons: 3
Source: RefSeq, a predicted model, not a curated record